This 73-nucleotide transfer RNA is filed under the name Ovis aries (sheep). It matches the Rfam family "tRNA". From Rfam's summary of the family: Transfer RNA (tRNA) molecules are approximately 80 nucleotides in length. Their secondary structure includes four short double-helical elements and three loops (D, anti-codon, and T loops). Lineage: Eukaryota; Metazoa; Chordata; Mammalia; Artiodactyla; Bovidae. The record is from Rfam by way of RNAcentral.
UCCUUGGCGGUUCAGUGGUUAGGACUCCACACUUUCACUGCUGUGGUCCCUGGUUCAAUCCCUGGUCUAGGAA